RNAcentral lists this transfer RNA (76 nucleotides) under Nocardioides luteus. RNAcentral's name for it is "tRNA-Lys". It matches the Rfam family "tRNA". From Rfam's summary of the family: Transfer RNA (tRNA) molecules are approximately 80 nucleotides in length. RNAcentral also lists the same sequence under 1 other name. The record is from RNAcentral. Lineage: Bacteria; Bacillati; Actinomycetota; Actinomycetes; Propionibacteriales; Nocardioidaceae.
GGGCCGUUAGCUCAGUUGGUAGAGCAGGAGACUUUUAAUCUUCGGGUCGUCGGUUCGAGCCCGACACGGCCUACCA